Long non-coding RNA from Saccostrea echinata, 831 nucleotides. RefSeq lists it as uncharacterized. NCBI's taxonomy places the organism in Eukaryota, Metazoa, Mollusca, Bivalvia, Ostreida, Ostreidae. The record is from RefSeq and is a predicted model, not a curated record. The transcript has 3 exons.
UCCUUUUUUUUCUGUACAUCAGUACAAAUAUUGGUAAAGUAAUUUCACUUUCAAUUGCGGAAAUGCUGAGCGCUAAAUCAAAGCGUAAGACGGCAUCACCAUAUGCACGCCCAGCACGGCGAGGGACCAGGAGGACCUACCAACAGAAUCAAUAGUCAUCUACCACUCAGAAUCCCACCACAAGUACUGAAGCGUCCUGUCAUCCUACGAUGGCCUCCAGUUCGACUGCUACACUGCAGCUGGUCUCCAGUCCUACUGCUACACUGGUCACCAGUCCAGUCCUACUGUGGUGUCCACCCCAACUGCUGAGGCAUCCAGUACAUCAGGUUAAAAAUCCCAAAACACCGACAAUCCACAAUACAGUUCUCCAGUAUACGUCGGAGAAUACGUUGAUCCAGUAAACAGAGAUAUAAAUCCAACGCUUCUGGAGGACAGAAAGUCAAACUUUGUAAAUAGUUCUAAUGUAUAAACGUAUACAAUCAUUUACAACUAGGUAUAGAAUCCGUAGCUCGUUGGCAAGAGAGAAAGGAAAACGUUUCAUUGUCUAGUGAAACAGAAACUUCAAUAAAUUAUGACGAGCGAAUUGAAAAAGGUCAAGACCAGGAUUCAAGAAAUACUUCUUUCCAGAGAAUACACAAUCUAAACAAUAUUUUGGGCGAGCAACAAAAAAAAAACAGAUUCUGAGAUGGGAUCGCAUUCUGCAUGCAUACCCGCUUUUCGCUCAGACGUCUCUGAAAAAGAAGGAAUAGAGACAAAAAAUGUCAACCAAAUAUUAUCUAAUGAAAAGGAAUACGAGUAUUUUCUAUUGGAUAAAAUCGACCCAUUGUUAGA